Non-coding RNA from Macaca mulatta (Rhesus monkey), 1418 nucleotides. The record is from RefSeq and is a predicted model, not a curated record. NCBI's taxonomy places the organism in Eukaryota, Metazoa, Chordata, Mammalia, Primates, Cercopithecidae.
GGGUCCAUCAUGCCUGCUCAAAACAUGGCAAGAACUCAAGGGUCAAGGUUGGCCUGGGAGGUCAAGUUCUGGGGGCUGACCCCUUGAGCCCUUACUGGGUAGAUAGCCUUGGUAAAGGCAUUUUUCUCUUCCGUCCUCUGGGUCCUCUUUCCCUGUUUCCCUACCCCUCCCUCCUCAUUUGCCUGAGUUGCACAGCUUGAUUUUCCCAUGAUUUAUUUUAUAAAAAGCCCAAGUUAACCAGACUCCUCUGGCCUUCAUGCUCAUUUAGCUCCCAGUUCAAACCUUCCCAUCUCAAGACGCACCCAAGAAAGGCACACAUGUGAUAUCUGACUUCUGAAGGAAGAACCCUACCAUGAAGCAAGUGGCUCACUUCUGUCUUUUGCUCUGUUCCCAGCCUCCCACUUGACCAUACAUGCCAAGGUUUGGAAGUGAUGGAGAUUACAGUUUAGCUCAUCCAGUGACCCAGUCUCCGUAGAUGAACCAUUUGUGGCCUCCUGAAACAUGGCAGCACGUCCAUCCCCUAGUGCCUUUGAUUUUGUGGCUUCUCAGCCUCCCUUUGUUCACCAACCUUUAAACAUGUUUUCGGAAUAUGUACCAGGAGGCCGGGGCUCAGAUCUGGAGGCGUAAUGGAUGGCAAGAUAGAUGUGAUCACUGCCCUCAUGAAGACUCCCCACCCCCACGCCUACCUGCCUUGGCUAUCUGGGUGUUGCAGAGAUCAGAGUUCGCGCGUCCAAGUCUGUAUGUCCAAUGCUGCUCUUCCACAAGGGGGCGCCCAUUCGGUGGAUGCUGCCAUCCCUGCCUAGUUGCUCAACCCUGAGAUUUAGGAAUGUCCUUCCUGACUUCUCCCAGUCCCUCAGCCCCAGCUUCCAAUCCAUCAAUGAGUUCUGUCCAUUCUACCUCCAAAAUAGAACUCUUCUAUUCUGGACCACUUUUCCCCAUCUCGAGGGUAUCAUUUCACUCCACCAGCUCUUACUCACUGCAGCGGCCUCCCAGAGGCACCUCCCACUUCUUUAUUUUUUCCUCCCACCCAAGGGUUCUUGAAGAGAAGUCCUCUGACCAGCAGCCUGAUCACCUAGAAAUUUGUUAGAAAUGCAGGUUCCUGGACCUCCCGAGGCUGACUGCUCAGAAUUUCUGGAGAACAUUAAUGAAAGAAACGUAGGCAGAGGCUCAAAAAGUGCCUGCCUAUUGGGGCUGUCCCCUGUCCUGAUGAUGGAAGAGCCCACGUGAAGGAGCUGAGCUGGCUGCUGGACAGGCCACAUGGAGGAGAAUCGAGGCAUUCCACCAACAGCCUGUCAGCCUCUGGUUGCAGCAAGCAGUAUGAGUGAGCCUCGGCAAAACUGGCUGAAGAAAUGCUCAGCGGAACCCAGCCCAAACUGCUGACAUCCAGAAUUGCAGUUAAUAUAUUAUCAUUGUUUUAA